Molecule: ribosomal RNA, 253 nt
Filed under: uncultured bacterium
Lineage: Bacteria
Description: partial 16S ribosomal RNA
Rfam family: Bacterial small subunit ribosomal RNA
Source: RNAcentral
GACGUAGGAGGCGAGCGUUGUCCGGAUUCAUUGGGCGUAAAGAGCACGCAGGCGGUUUGGCAAGUCGGAUGUGAAAACCCGGAGCUCAACUCCGGACCUGCAUCCGAAACUGCCCGACUAGAGGUAGGUAGGGGAGAUCGGAAUUCCUGGUGUAGCGGUGAAAUGCGCAGAUAUCAGGAGGAACACCGGUGGCGAAGGCGGCGUUCUAGACUGCAACUGACACUGAUGAACGAAAGCCAGGGGAGCAAACGGG